AUGGCUUUUUGGGUUUAAUAAAAAGUCUAGCCUGCCCACUGAAAAUUGAAGGCUGCAGUAUUAUGACUGUACAAAGGUAGCAUAAUCAUUAGUCUCUUGAUUGGGGGCUGGUAUGAAAGGCUGAACUAAAAAUUGCUGUCUCAAGAGUAAUUAGUGAAAUUUUCUUUAAUGUGAAAAGACAUUAGUAAGUGAGUGGGACAAGAAGACCCUUUUAAACUAAAUUAAGUUAAAUAAAAUUAAUUAGAAGAAUAAUUUAUUUUUAGAUCAAUUGAAUUUUGCUGGGGCGGUGAAUAGUAAACAUUAUUAAAAAGAGCUGGUUAUUGCUAAAUUAGGUUAAGAGCGUGUAAUUACGGAGUUAAAGAAAAAGUUACUGAAGGGAUAACAGCGUAAUGUUUUUUAGAGUUCUUAUUAACAAAAACGUUUGCGA
Molecule: ribosomal RNA, 427 nt
Filed under: Proteroiulus fuscus
Lineage: Eukaryota; Metazoa; Arthropoda; Diplopoda; Julida; Blaniulidae
Description: partial 16S ribosomal RNA
Source: RNAcentral